Molecule: ribosomal RNA, 842 nt
Filed under: uncultured organism
Description: bacterial SSU rRNA
Rfam family: Bacterial small subunit ribosomal RNA
Source: RNAcentral
GAGUUUGAUCCUGGCUCAGAUUGAACGCUGGCGGCAUGGCUAAAACAUGCAAGUCGAACGAUGAAAGCACCUUCGGGUGUGCAUGAAGUGGCGAAAGGGCGAGGAAUACGUUCCUACGUACCCCAAGGUCAGGGAUAGCCCCGGGAAACUGGGAGUAAUACCUGAUGAUAUCUCCGGAUCAAAGGCUUCGGCCACCUUGGGAGCGGGGAACGCCCUAUCAGGUUGUUGGUGAGGUAACGGCUCACCAAGCCUAAGACGGGUAGCGGGUGUGAGAGCAUGACCCGCCGCAUCGGGACUGAGACACUGCCCGGACUCCUACGGGAGGCUGCAGUAACGAAUAUUCCGCAAUGCGCGAAAGCGUGACGGAGCAAUGCCGCGUGUGGGAUGAAUCUCUUCGGAGUGUAAACCACUGUCAGAGUUUAGGAACUCAAUGACCAGACUCAAAGGAAGGGCCGGCUAACUUCGUGCCAGCAGCCGCGGUAAUACGAAGGGCCCGAGCGUUAAUCGGAAUCACUGGGCUUAAAGCGUGCGUAGGCGGACUUGAAGGCGUCCUGUGAAAUCCCUCGGCUCAACCGAGGAACUGCAGGGCGAACCAUGAGUCUCGAGACAGGUAGAGGUUGUCGGAACGAUAGGUGGAGUGGUGAAAUGCGUUGAUAUCUAUCGGAACGCCAAUGGAGAAGUCAGGCAACUGGGCCUGUUCUGACGCUAAGGCACGAAAGCGUGGGGAGCGAACGGGAUUAGAUACCCCGGUAGUCCACGCCGUAAACGAUGCGUACUAGGUUGGGGAAGCUCUGACGCUGUUCCCGGCUGAAGCAAAAGUAUUAAGUACGCCGCCUGGGGAG